UUGGUUGUUAUGCAAAGUUUCAAUAUGUUUGUUUGAUAAUAUAAACACGUUUUCAUGUGUUUGAAGGUCGCAAAAGCUUAACAUAAGUGGCAACCACACUUUGUAUUACGUUUCGUCUCAUAUAUCAUGAAGAACAACCAAGUAUUUCAGGCUGGGAUCAUGCUGAGCAACCUCAACCAAGGAAAACUGAGGCGAGGGCGAGUAGGUCCCUGAGGAGGACCACUGCAAAGGAGGUCAAGGAGAUUCUGGGAGCAACCUGCGAGCAACCUCUAGACCAGCCAGCAGGCACCUCUGACAAUGCCGCUGCCGGUGUCGACGCUGGCAGCCAUGGCCGGCGCCGAGCUGACGAGUUCCAGCCUGGAAGCUCAGCGCGAGGGCCGGCAUUUGUUGCCGGCUUCGUGGCAUACAAGUGUCACCACAUCGACGCCACCCUCGGUAGUCGGGUCUCCUGACUUCUCGGGCGCCGCCGGAGACACUGAACACCCUGUCGAACAGUUGAAUUGUGACGUUCAGCCGAGGCCAGCUGCUUGUUCCGUCACAAGCCUGGAUGGCCGCUGUGGAGGAGUUCGAGCGGAACUUCUGCCUGCUGAUGGGGGCAACUGCAGAUCAGGGGCCGCGAGUCAUACAGCGUCUCAUGUUGCUCAUCGCCGUCAAGCAGCCUCAGCUCGGCACCCGCGUGUCCAGGAAGUUGGCGAGCACCCGUCUCCACCUCCCCCUUCGGUCUCUUAGCCUGACUGGACGAGGUCUGGCAGCUGAAAAGAGCCAAUAGAAAAGUUGGCCAUCAUACAAGGAGCUCUAGGUGAGCUGCUGGUAAACCGGCUCGUGUAACGACUGUGCGACUCUGUGUGGUGCGGCUGGCUCUGUGUGGGUGCUGUGCGACUCGGCAUGGUACCUCCGGCUGUGUGUAAUGGCUUUGCGACUCGGUGUGGUACGGCCGGCUCUGUUGGUGCUGUGCAACUCGGCAUGGUGCCUCCGGCUGUGUGUAACGGCUAUGCGAUUCGGUGUGGUGCGGCCGGCUCUGUUGGUGCUGUGCAACUCGGCGUGGUGCCUCCGGCUGUGUGUACCGGCUGUGCGACUCGAUGUGGCACGGCCAGAUCUGUUGGUGCUGUGCAACUCGGCGUGGUGCCUCCGGCUGUGUGUAACGGCUGUGCGACUCGGUGUGGCACGGCCAAAUCUGUUGGUGCUGUGUGACUCGGCAUGGUGCC
Molecule: long non-coding RNA, 1205 nt
Organism: Amphibalanus amphitrite
Lineage: Eukaryota; Metazoa; Arthropoda; Thecostraca; Balanomorpha; Balanidae
Exons: 3
Source: RefSeq, a predicted model, not a curated record